GAGAGGAAGAAAUCAUAUAUUUGAUAAAAUUGUUGGAUUCCAAUAAUGGAUAUUACACGAGGACAUAGUCCAAAUGUGAUACGUAAUCUAAAUAUUUUCUUGACAACGAAACUCAAACUGAAGGCAUCCAUCAACAUCCGUACAACUUAUCAAAAACUUAACCGAGGAACAUCAUCCAACAAGAACAUCCCCUACAACUUUAUUAAAAUGGAAGGCCUCCAUCAUCAUCAUCAUCAUCAUCACCAUCAUCAUCAUCAUCAUCAUGAAUGAACUCCUAAAGCUUAGCUUGUAAAUAUCUGAUUUGUGAUUUAAGUUCCUGUCGUCGUACAACAGAAAUUAACAAUUAUAUUGUUUUUCAACAAUGCAAGAAUCCUCCUCCAAGCCUUCGCAACAUAAUAGGCAGAAUUUUCUUCAAACAUUGUAAAAAAGGCUAGUAAGGUUAUUCUACAAUGCACACUAGUCAUCAACCCAAUAAUGGGCUAACAUUUUUGUGUUUCCACCAAUUGUUAGCUAGAAAUAACUACUAUCAUGAUCUGAAAUUGUUAGGUCAGAUGUGACAUCAGAAUGGUUUCUCCUUAUGCUAUUUAUCUUUAAGAAAAAGCAGAAAUUAGAGAGAAAUUAUGUAUGAUUGGAGACGAGAUUCCUCCCCAACUGAUGACGUUGGACAAAAGAGGUGCUGCAGAAUAAGAAUACACUUAUCAAGACGCCUGGUCAGUACAAAGUCAUGAUACAAUCAAACAAAAAAACACCCAAAACAAAUCAUGACUAAAAUUUGAUAGUGAAUAGUUAGCAAAACACACUUGAUGAGAAAUUCAUACAUGUAGAAAUUGUAUAAGACCAUCACAAAAUAUUCAGCUUAUAUGAGUGAUGCUUGCAUCAAAUUUCUUAAUGUAUAUAUACAACUGUAUACUCAACUCUAGAUACAUAUCUAAUAUGUCGAAUAUUUUAUACGAUAGGAUUUCUCUAAGCCAUCCAGUAUGUUUUACCAUGUACAUUGUCUCUCUUUUUUUGCCUAAAGUAUACACAGUCAGCACCCUAUAAAUUCCUAGUGUAUAUAUACCAAAGGACACAUCAAGGAGUUUAAUUCUGUUAUCACAUGGUAGAAAACUCUAGUACAAUAAUGGGAUAACAUGCUAACUUGUUGGAGAAAAAAGAUAGAUGCAAUCGACAUGUGCAAACUUCUUUCCAUGAAUACUUCUGCAUGGCACAAAUAAAACUUUGACCAGUGCUUGGUAAGGCUAGAAGGAUUUUCUUGCCACCACAUUAACAUGCAUGUGUGUUUGUUGCUAGCGCUGGCUAGGAACUUAAUUAACAAAGCCAUAAUUUUUUUUUUGGCUAACCUUCUACAUGACCUAUUAGAUAAAUUAUUGUUGUGUUUGUCCUUCCUCAAUAACAGCCUUCUUAGAGCCUCAAAACAAUGUUCUUCAUUUGUUAAGCCAUGACCAUGUCAACCAGCUGCUCAUUGGCACACUCAUUUUCAUGAUGGUGGCCUUGGUCUGAUAGCGUCAAUAUGAUAAUACAAAACACUAAGUACGCCUGAUGGCACAUAUAUUUUCACGUCCAACGAAACAAAUUAUUAAGAAACUGACCUUAUCAGAUCAAAUAUGAGGUAGAAUUUGUAAUUGUUAUGUCCAUCAUCUCCUCUCCUUGCAUGCCACAUACCUGCACUGGUACACAGUACUAAUUAGCUAAAGUAAACAUUUGUUUUCUUUGAAACCGAGAUAAUUUGUGUGCUGCGAAUACAAUAGAACAACAUAUGUUUUCUCUGAUACAUAGUGAUAUCAUUUUUAUAAAUUGCACAAAUAAUUAUAAUUUGAGAUGUGCCUCAAUAUAUUAAGAAAGAUACAUUAAAAAUCUACCAAACUUUAAGGACCAUCAUAUUUUUAUACUGUGAGCUCACACUUUUGCACAUGCAUCACACAGGCUGACUAUAUGUAUAUAAUUAUAUUAACCGCUGAGUAUAAAGAUAUAUCCACCAUGCUGAUAUUAAACUAAUCGUGGACCUGCAGAAAUGCGGACAUUGGCACACAAACUCAAGCAUCACACGUUCAAGUUAAUUAGGCUACUAUAAUGCAUGCAAUUUAAUAGACUAGCACUUAUACUAUGGGUGGAUGCAGGGUGAUGCGACCAAUUACUCCACCAAGCGGAUUUGAUUGGAAAGAACAGAGCCCAUUGCAUAACAACUAAAAAAGAACAAAGUUAUGGUGGUCAAACCUGAGUAGAUGGCCGUGUUAGGUGAUAAGGCACUCGUCGAUGUUCUCACUUCUACAGAAGUCCUCACUACUACAACAAAGUACUGGCACAAGUGAGUAUCGCACCUACUUGAGCUGUAAUAAUAAGGUAAAAAAAAGAUUUUCCCAAUAGAAGUAUGACCAUAUGAUUGAUUAGGCCGGCAAAUUGGGAUGUAAGCAGAAAUCAGUCAACCACAUAAUCCACGACAUCAACCAAGGACUGCACAAUCAAGUUUCACUUCCAUGGGCUGGUGAUAGGCUCCUAAGCUAUAACUAGAAUCAAUUCAAUCACAACAAGAGGCUUCAGCUGGAGUCUCCUCUCCGCACCAACCAGCUAUAAUUUAACCUGUUGGUCAUCAUCAGGGACUGGUAAGUGGUAUGUAGCAAUUUACAACUAGACUGAAGUGAAGCGGAGCGAAAUGGGGGGAAUAAAAUUGGGAGAGGAGAAGCAGCCCGGCUCACCACGAUAGCUUGAUCGCGAGGGUGGUUGUAGCGGCAACUCUCCCCACAGCCGCCGGCCCCCGUGCGGAGGAAUAGUAGACGCAGUUGAUUCGUAGGGGCGCGCUGACGAGGGGCGGCGCACCGGGAAGCCGGGUCGCAGGGGAGUGUUGACGAGGGACGGCACGCCGAGAUGGAAGGUCGCAAGGGAUUGGUGAGGGGCAGCAUGCCGGGGCGGAGGAUCACAGGGGAGUGGUGAGGGGCGGCGCUGAUAGUUCGAGGGGCGGCGGCCGGCGUGGG
RNAcentral lists this long non-coding RNA (2969 nucleotides) under Triticum aestivum (bread wheat). Its description in RNAcentral is "long non-coding RNA (TAES_LNC001163)". The record is from RNAcentral. Lineage: Eukaryota; Viridiplantae; Streptophyta; Magnoliopsida; Poales; Poaceae.